GACGAACGCUGGCGGCGUGCUUAACACAUGCAAGUCGAACGAUGAAGCCCAGCUUGCUGGGCGGAUUAGUGGCGAACGGGUGAGUAAUACGUGAGUAACCUGCCUUUAACUCUGGGAUAAGCCUUGGAAACGGGGUCUAAUACCGGAUACGACCAACCCUCGCAUGGGGUGUUGGUGGAAAGGGAUUUUGUACUGGUUUUAGAUGGGCUCACGGCCUAUCAGCUUGUUGGUGAGGUAACGGCUCACCAAGGCGACGACGGGUAGCCGGCCUGAGAGGGUGACCGGCCACACUGGGACUGAGACACGGCCCAGACUCCUACGGGAGGCAGCAGUGGGGAAUAUUGCACAAUGGGCGCAAGCCUGAUGCAGCGACGCCGCGUGAGGGAUGACGGCCUUCGGGUUGUAAACCUCUUUCAGCAGGGGAGAAGCGAAAGUGACGGUACCUGCAGAAGAAGCGCCGGCUAACUACGUGCCAGCAGCCGCGGUAAUACGUAGGGCGCGAGCGUUGUCCGGAAUUAUUGGGCGUAAAGAGCUUGUAGGCGGUUUGUCGCGUCUGCUGUGAAAGCCCGGGGCUUAACCCCGGGUUUGCAGUGGGUACGGGCAGACUAGAGUGCAGUAGGGGAGACUGGAAUUCCUGGU
Molecule: ribosomal RNA, 639 nt
Filed under: uncultured Rothia sp.
Lineage: Bacteria; Bacillati; Actinomycetota; Actinomycetes; Micrococcales; Micrococcaceae
Description: bacterial SSU rRNA
Rfam family: Bacterial small subunit ribosomal RNA
Source: RNAcentral